Non-coding RNA from Mesorhizobium alhagi CCNWXJ12-2, 71 nucleotides. NCBI's taxonomy places the organism in Bacteria, Pseudomonadati, Pseudomonadota, Alphaproteobacteria, Hyphomicrobiales, Phyllobacteriaceae. The record is from Rfam.
AAGAGCCGGGUGCGGGAAAUCCGCCCGCCCGGAUCUGUGAGGGCGAAAGCCGAAUGGCUGAGCUACUCGAC